This 465-nucleotide ribosomal RNA is filed under the name uncultured bacterium. Its description in RNAcentral is "partial 16S ribosomal RNA". It matches the Rfam family "Bacterial small subunit ribosomal RNA", at positions 338 to 795 of the family's 1533-position model. The record is from RNAcentral.
CCUACGGGGGACAGCAGUGGGGAAUAUUGCGCAAUGGGCGAAAGCCUGACGCAGCGACGCCGCGUGAGGGAUGAAGGUCUUCGGAUCGUAAACCUCUGUCAGCAGGGAAGAACGGUCACUGUGCUAAUCAGCAGUGAAUUGCCGGUACCUGCAAAGGCAGCACCGGCUAACUCCGUGCCAGCAGCCGCGGUAAUCCGGAGGGUGCGAGCGUUAAUCGGAAUUACUGGGCGUAAGGCGCUCGUAGGCGGGAUGUCAAGUCAAGGGUGAAAUCCCCGCGCUAAACGUGGGAACUGCCUUUGAAACUGGCAAACUGGAGUGUGUGAGCGGAUAGUGGAAUUCCAGGUGUAGGAGUGAAAGCCGUAGAUAUCUGGAGGAACAUCAGUGGCGAAGGCGACUAUCUGGCACAUAACUGCCGCUGAGGAGCGAAAGCGUGGGUAGCAAACAGGAUUAGAUACCCGGGUAGUC